GAAUUAGAGAGUUUGAUCCUGGCUCAGGGUGAACGCUGGCGGCGCGCUUAAUGCAUGCAAGUCGAGCGUACCUCCCGGCUUCGGCCGGGUAGGGAAGCGGCAGACGGCUGAGUAACGCGUGAGUAAUCUACCCUUCGGUGGGGUACAGCCCCGAGAAAUCGAGGUUAAUCCCGCAUACGAUCCCUUGGCCCUGGUUGAGGGAUGAAAGCCUCCGGGCG
RNAcentral lists this ribosomal RNA (218 nucleotides) under Dehalococcoidia bacterium. Its description in RNAcentral is "partial 16S ribosomal RNA". It matches the Rfam family "Bacterial small subunit ribosomal RNA", at positions 1 to 217 of the family's 1533-position model. The record is from RNAcentral. Lineage: Bacteria; Bacillati; Chloroflexota; Dehalococcoidia.